CCCCACUUGGCCACAGGUCUCAGGAGAAGCCUGAGCCUGGGGAAAGGUGCAAACCCACCAACCCACCAGGAGCCAGAGAAACAGCUAUUAAAGGACCUCUUAUAAUGAAGAAUUGAGGUAAAGCAGCAUAUGUUUAAUAUCUCUAAGAGCAACAAAAUCAUUGGUUCCUUCGUAUCAUCAAAGAUCCUUUCCUAAAACACAUCAAAGCAGAAAUCUGUGAAGAACACCUGGGGGUCAGCACCGGCAAAAUACAAGGAAGAAGUAGGAACUGAAGGUGAAGAUGCUAAGGAAGGUCAGGUAAAGAUCACAAAGAAAAACAGUAAAGAAGAUUUUCAGAACCAAGAACAGCUAGCUUAUUCUGAGUUUAAAAGACCACAUAAAAUAAUUGUGAAUCUGAUGCCAGACUUUCCCUGCUUACACAGGAAAGGACAGACUUAACCUCUUCUUGCUUUUACCCUUCUCUGAAAAGCUUCAAAAAGACUCUGCAGAACCACAUCCUUCCAACACUUAAGAAUAUGACCCCAAACUUAUUAAAGGCAUUGUGCUUACAAAAUUAUUUAAUUAAAUUUUUUCCAGAGCUUCCAGAGAAAUCAAAUUAAAAUUUCAUAUUUCAAUGUAUCCGUACUUUCAGAACAAUAAACAAAUAAAUGUGGUUUAGCAAAGUGUAA
This is a long non-coding RNA of Pseudopipra pipra, 668 nucleotides long. RefSeq lists it as uncharacterized. The transcript has 4 exons. Lineage: Eukaryota; Metazoa; Chordata; Aves; Passeriformes; Pipridae. The record is from RefSeq and is a predicted model, not a curated record.